AUGAGAGGGAAUGGUUUUAAGUUGCACCAGGGGGGGUUCAGAUUAGAUAUUAGGAAAAAAAUAUUCUCAGAAAGUAUGUCAAGGCACUGCAAUAGACUGUCCGGGGAGGUGAUGGAGUCACUGUCCCCGGGGGUUUUCAAGAAAAGGGUAGAUGAUGCACUGAGGGAAAUAGUCCAGAGUGGUUACAGCCACGGGUUGACAGUUGAACUGCAUGAUCUUACUGGUCUUUCCAACUUUAAUGAUUCUACAAAUGUUUCUGUGACCACAGAUGUCGAGCAGGUGAGGGGGCGGGAAGAGGCCCCAGGUCCCCUCCCUUCCUUUCCAAUCCUGGGAGCUCCGAGGGGCGACGGCCGAGCGCUGCCUCCUUCCCUCCCGUCGCCUCCCUGGAGAAGGCCGCGGAGAGCCUCCAGGCUCGCCCCUCGCGUUCCAUCCCCACCGUCCCCCCGCCAGGGGACCCCGCACCUUGCCCCCGGCCGAGGCGGCAGCGAGCAGAGCUGGAGUAGCUCAGCCGAGCAAGACUCCGAGCCGGAUCGCGGCUGCGGCGGACGCACGCAGGUGGUGCGGCGCCGGGAGAAGGGCCGCUCCGCGCGGUCUUCACCUGUGGGCGUGACCACCGUCCCCCCCUCCUCCUCCUCUCCCUCCUCCUUUUUACUUGAAGGGCCGGCGCUGCUCUUGUUGCAGAGAUUACAAGCGGAGCUGUGGCUGGGGAGUGGAGGACGUCUCGUUGUUGCUACCGACCCGCGCGAAGUGUCCCGCUCGCUGCGGAUCCGCGGGACAGGCCGGGAAGGGGAGAAGGCUGGACUCGCUGCGGAGCGCCGCUCUGCCCGGCGGACCGGAUCGUCCUUCCCCUCUGUCUCCAUCCCCGGCCGCUGGCGGGCACCUCCGCCCUCCCCGUCUUCUCCGCGGGAUCGCUCUCUCCCCUUCGCGGCGCUGCUCGCGCGGCCGGUAGCGGCGGGCUCCCCGGUGCCGCGGCCAUGCGGCGCUGCGCCGUCAGGCAGCGGGAGCCCUAGCGCCGCGGCUGGGUGGGCGGGGGGCGGGAGAGGCCGCCCUGCCGCUGGCACCGCCUCGGCCCCGGUCUGUGCCUGA
This 1086-nucleotide long non-coding RNA is filed under the name Numida meleagris (helmeted guineafowl). Its description in RNAcentral is "lncRNA (ENSNMEG00000007435.1)". The record is from RNAcentral. Lineage: Eukaryota; Metazoa; Chordata; Aves; Galliformes; Numididae.